Molecule: long non-coding RNA, 2333 nt
Organism: Ictalurus punctatus (channel catfish)
Lineage: Eukaryota; Metazoa; Chordata; Actinopteri; Siluriformes; Ictaluridae
Source: Ensembl
AAAACUCCUGAUCCGGAUGUCUUCCCUAUAGAAUUUAAAACGUUCUCCACUCAUCUAUCCCGCUUAUUAUUAGAACUAUACAAUCAUUCCUUAGAACAGGGCUUCUUACCAGCAUCCUUAAACCAAGAACUAAUUAAUGUCUUUAACUCCUUAACAUUAAAGAAAGACAAGGACCCUAAAUUUUGUGGCAGGUACAGACCUAAUUAAUAACCAUGUCAAAUUAUUAGCUAAAGUAUUGGCUAAACGCUUAGAGGUUCGUCUUUCAGCCCUUAUAUCAGAUGAUCGAACUGGCUUUACACUGGGUCAUCAGUUGUCAUCCAAUAUACGCAGACUUUUAAAUAUGAUCUUCACUCCAUCUAGCUCUCCAAUGCCAGAAAUGGUUCUCUUACUAGACAGAAGGCUUUUGAUCGGGUGGAACGGGAUUAUUUAUUUACAGUUUUACAAAAAUUUGGUUUCAGCCCCAAACGAAUUUCACGGAUACGUCUACUAUAAUUCCUCCUCAGCUUGAAAACAAAUUCGGAACCAUCUCCCCAUUUCUCUUGUCUCGUUUCACCAGUCAGGGCUGCCCACUCUCACCCCUUCUCUUUGCUUUGGCUAUACCCAAAGCAAUAGCCUUGAAAUCGACUUCAGUAUGUUCAGGUAUUCAUAGCAUCGGAAGGGAACACCGGGUUCGACACCACAGACACCAGUCAAGCCAUUUUGCAAUAUGUAUGUUUUUUAUAUGAAGUCUGUGUGUUGAACUAUUCCACUGUUCACUAAAGGAGACCUGAGUGUAAAACUGCAUGUGGUAAUUGCAGUCUCAAGGCCAUCGCUGCAACCGUAGUCCCAGCAACCACAGCGAGAACGUCCAUGUGGAAAUGAGGUCCAAAACCAUUUCCAUGGUACUUCAAGUGGUACAAAGCAAAGAGUAAGGGAGAUAAAGCACAACCCUGUCUGGUACCUCGAUAUAGGUGAAACGGUGAAGAGAGCAUCUUAUUCGUAAGAAUUCUCACACAGGGCUUACGGUAAAGAAUUUUUGUCACUUUUCAAAACUAUCACCAAUAUCACAUUUUCUCAAAACUGGGAACAAAUAAGGCCACUCUAAUGGGUCAAAAACCUUCUCUGCAUCAAGAGAAACAAUAACCAAAUCAUCUGUAGUGUGGGAGUAGAUUAUUUUAAAAAGACGUCUAAGAUUUGGAACGGAGUGCCUAUUUGUAUAAAUCCCGUCUGAUCAGGGUGAGUAAGUUUAUCAGUUACAGAUCUAAGCCUGAUGGGGAAAACUUUAGCCAAAAUGAUUUUGUCAGAGGUGAAAUUGGCCUAUAUCUACUUACUUACUUCCUGAUCUUCACCCUUUUAAGUGAUACUGUACUUCAAAAGUAGCCUCAUUUAAGGUAUGAUGCAAUAUGCCAGCAGUAUUUGAAUGAGUAUACAUUUUAAAUAAAUAAGGUGAGAAUAGAUCACUGAAUUCUUUGUAAAAUUCACUAGGGUACUCAUCAGAGCCAAUUGUAUCUUGUAUUUCUGAGACUGAAAGUUCAGCGUUGAGGAAGUCACGAUCUUUCUAAACUAGAGUAGGAAUAUCACAACUAUACAAGAAGUUUUUUUGCAGCCAGGUCGUCGAUUAAGGCCUUGGAGCUAUUAUUAUACUUUGAACACUUUAAUUACAGAAGCUGGUCCUACAUCUUAUAUCAUAGGUUACACAGAUAUAUCACGAUUCAUUAUGUAGUACUGAAUGAAAACAGAGGUUUAACAUGAACCCCUUUAUCAUUUGUUUGAUUGUGAAUGUGUACCUUUAUUAAAUUUUGUGAUUUCUAUACAGAUAUCUCUGUUUAGAAACGGUUAUAGAUGAAGGAUGAUCUUGUUCUAGGAAAAGAAGAUUGAGGAAAAGAAGCGUGUGCUGUGAAAGAAUGCAUCAUUAUCUAAGACAGAGAUCAAAUUAUUUUAUACCAUUGAUUUUAUUUUUUGACCUUGAUUAAGAGCCAAGAUCUUGAUAGAGUAUGUUUUUUAAAGUGAAGCAGGCAGAAACACAAACAUGUUUUUUGUUUACUCAAACCAAAGUCCAAAAGAUUUCCCAUGUGUUCUGUGCUCAUGUGUUCAUGUGUUCACAGCAUUUAAUGCCAUAACGUGGAAUGAACCUUUUUUUAAAUAUCAAAUAUGUUAUUUUCAAGCUUUUAAAAUGCUGUAAGCUUUUUCUACAUGCCCAGUAUUCAUGUGCAUUUUCUGUAAAAUAUAGCAGACACGUGUUCACAUUUGUUUAUUAUUCUUCAUCACUAAGAAAUGAGUGUCCACAUAAGCACUGUACCUUGUCUACUUUGGCAUAUCUAUCUAUCUAUCUAUCUAUCUAUCUAUCUAUCUAU